This 75-nucleotide transfer RNA is filed under the name Ilumatobacter fluminis. RNAcentral's name for it is "tRNA-Gln". It matches the Rfam family "tRNA". From Rfam's summary of the family: Transfer RNA (tRNA) molecules are approximately 80 nucleotides in length. Their secondary structure includes four short double-helical elements and three loops (D, anti-codon, and T loops). RNAcentral also lists the same sequence under 3 other names. The record is from RNAcentral. Lineage: Bacteria; Bacillati; Actinomycetota; Acidimicrobiia; Acidimicrobiales; Ilumatobacteraceae.
UGGGGUGUGGUGUAAUUGGCAACACGAGAGUUUCUGGUUCUCUUAUUCAAGGUUCGAUUCCUUGCACCCCAACCA